AACAAUCGAAGCAGUCUGUCCAAGAAUUCCUUCGACAAGAGAAGAAUUUCCGGCGCGUUUGGAACGAAGGACCCAUUUUGGGCUCAGAGUUAUACGAAGAUAAAGAACUCCUUGUUUGCUAUCCAAAGGAAUUUCAUAGUUAGUCUGUUGUUGCUGUUGAAGAAGCUUGCAGUCGAUUACACAAGAGCCCAAAUGAUCGUCCUUGUUACCAAAAUCCCAAUCAAAAACAUUAGCAACAAAAUUACAGGUUUGCUUGCAAGGAAGUUCGACCUCGAAACUUUCAUUAAAAGUAGGAUUUAACGUCCGCUUGUGCGUUUUAGUCCGGUACACUUCUUCUCCUUGCAACUCGAAAACAACGAAAGGAUCAGACUUUCCAUUGGAAUCUGCGGCAGGGAGAUCCGUGGCUUUUAUGACAUCGACGGUCAUUUCUCCCAUAUUUUCGUACAUUUCAACUUCCUCAAGUUUCACAGGAACAGGAGUUAGCCUAAAAGCGACCAAAAUCGAAGCACCAUCAGGAAAUGCAAUUUCCAGAGGUUUAGUAGCGCCUUUACUAAUUAAAUCGCGACUCAGCAUAGUUUUGCUACCAACCUCCUUAUCACCAUCUAGCAGCUUGAAAGUACAUUGAGAAUAUUCAAGUUGUCUGAUGAAAGUAUUGCCGUACUCAUGCAGGGUAGCACCACCGGUGACGUUUAAGGCAGAUGAUAAGAAAAUAUGAUGAGGUAAAUCGUCUAAAAAUAUAGCUAACUCUUGGGCUGGCUUAGCUAUUUUAUACGAAAUUAUGUCGAAACCCAUGAAGCCAGAUUCAAAGUCUAAAGCUGCAUUUACAGCUUCAGACGGCAUAAGCAGUUCUGAAAUCUUCUUUGGUUUUGAGGUUUUAACAGACGUAGACCCUCGAGAAGUUGAAGUGUUGUCGACUGCUGUAGGCGUUUUUUGGCUUUCCGGAAGCACUUCGAUAUUUACUUUAUCAGUUGCAACAGUUGAUGAAGCUUUAGGAGCGGGUGUCACAUCAGGGCUGAGCGAGGUUGUGACAGCGGAUGGGAAAAAGUCACAUUUGAAAGUUAUUGUUGCAUUACCCUUUAUACCCCGGGUAGAGGACAAAGGUACAGUUAGUUCUCGAGGGUCAUGGUAUUCCAUUAAAGCACCAUUUUCGCCUUGAUUGAUAAAAUUUGAUAUGUUGAUAGGGGUCUGUCCAAUGAGUUUGUCUUCACCAGAUGAAUUGUAAUUCAUCACUUGUAAAAAGAAGAUGUCAUGUUUGGUAAUUACGGGUGCAUACAUGUAUUCAUCCCAAAACGGAUUUACAUUGCUAGCAAUGACCACUGUCCUAAACUGUUUCGUAUUGUGGGACAUGAUGCGUGCGUAAGAAUCACAUUUUUUACCAGGAAUCUUAGAGUGCAAAUUAUUCGCCGAACGUAAAUGGAUACGAAUUGCACCGAUGGGAGUAGCAAGAGCCAUCGAAGAAAUACUGUCGUUAUUUAACUGAGCAGGUUUCCACAUAACAGACAUACGUACUCUACCGGAUGGAGCAUGUUGUAAUGGAAACCAUAAAAGACCCGUCUUAGUAGCAGCAAACAAGUCCUGCAAAGAUACAUUAGCGGUCCCAAAAGGAUGCUCUGAUUCCUCCGUGAAUAUUUGAACACCCAGAGUAGCAUUCUUCCCUUCUGGAAGAAGAGUACCAAAGGAUUCUUCCCAUGAUGGAUUAUUGUUUUUCUUAAUCUUUCUGGUCGUAUAGACUUCUUUAUUGUUAAUAAUCAAUUUGGCAUAAGCGGUAGGUCGUUUCGAUGGAUCAUUGCUAAGCUCUUUGCAUUGAUGCACAGUAAAUUGCAGAACACCAGGGCCAUCGACUUUAGUAAUUUCUUCGCCAGAAUCAGGCACAACUGCAUGGAAUU
RNAcentral lists this long non-coding RNA (1886 nucleotides) under Schizosaccharomyces pombe (fission yeast). The record is from RNAcentral. Lineage: Eukaryota; Fungi; Ascomycota; Schizosaccharomycetes; Schizosaccharomycetales; Schizosaccharomycetaceae.